Molecule: unclassified non-coding RNA, 400 nt
Filed under: uncultured fungus
Lineage: Eukaryota; Fungi
Description: sequence contains ITS1
Rfam family: 5.8S ribosomal RNA (bases 1-105)
Source: RNAcentral
GAAUUGCGAAACGUAAUGUGACUUGCAACCCUCGUGAAUCAUCGAAUCUUUGAACGCAUCUUGCACUAUUCGGCUUCCCCGGAUAGUAUGCCUGGUUGAGUGUCUGUGUAUCUCUCCUAUAUCAAUUCUGUUGGUAAUAGGGACUUGGGGUCUUCUCGUCGGAACUUUCAUUUCGAAUGUCUCGGUGAACCCUUUAAAUGUAGCAAGCUCCCAUCUUUCAUCGGAAAUACGCAAACUUGGGGAUGGCGUCGUAGCAAUCACUCUUAUCAGUAUUGUCGAAGCGCCUAUAUCAUACCUCUAAUCUGCGGUGCUAAUCCUUUAUCAAUGGGCGAAGCUUGACGACUGGCAAAGUGCCAUGCUCCCUUUAUUGGAGUACACGAACAAUAAUGACCUCAACUCA